CAGCAGCCGCGGGAACACGAAGGGUGCAAGCGUUAAUCGGAAUUACUGGGCGUAAAGCGCGCGUAGGUGGUUUGGUAAGAUGGAUGUGAAAUCCCCGGGCUCAACCUGGGAACUGCAUCCAUAACUGCCUGACUAGAGUACGGUAGAGGGUGGUGGAAUUUCCUGUGUAGCGGUGAAAUGCGUAGAUAUAGGAAGGAACACCAGUGGCGAAGGCGACCACCUGGACUGAUACUGACACUGAGGUGCGAAAGCGUGGGGAGCAAACAGGAUUAGAUACCUGCGUAGUCCCUGUCUCUUAUAC
RNAcentral lists this ribosomal RNA (301 nucleotides) under uncultured bacterium. RNAcentral's name for it is "partial 16S ribosomal RNA". It matches the Rfam family "Bacterial small subunit ribosomal RNA", at positions 509 to 807 of the family's 1533-position model. The record is from RNAcentral.